CGAAUGGUAGAGAGAAGCUUGCUUCUCUUGAGAGCGGCGGACGGGUGAGUAAUGCCUAGGAAUCUGCCUGGUAGUGGGGGAUAACGUUCGGAAACGGACGCUAAUACCGCAUACGUCCUACGGGAGAAAGCAGGGGACCUUCGGGCCUUGCGCUAUCAGAUGAGCCUAGGUCGGAUUAGCUAGUUGGUGGGGUAAUGGCUCACCAAGGCGACGAUCCGUAACUGGUCUGAGAGGAUGAUCAGUCACACUGGAACUGAGACACGGUCCAGACUCCUACGGGAGGCAGCAGUGGGGAAUAUUGGACAAUGGGCGAAAGCCUGAUCCAGCCAUGCCGCGUGUGUGAAGAAGGUCUUCGGAUUGUAAAGCACUUUAAGUUGGGAGGAAGGGUUGUAGAUUAAUACUCUGCAAUUUUGACGUUACCGACAGAAUAAGCACCGGCUAACUCUGUGCCAGCAGCCGCGGUAAUACAGAGGGUGCAAGCGUUAAUCGGAAUUACUGGGCGUAAAGCGCGCGUAGGUGGUUAGUUAAGUUGGAUGUGAAAUCCCCGGGCUCAACCUGGGAACUGCAUUCAAAACUGACUGACUAGAGUAUGGUAGAGGGUGGUGGAAUUUCCUGUGUAGCGGUGAAAUGCGUAGAUAUAGGAAGGAACACCAGUGGCGAAAGCGACCACCUGGACUGAUACUGACACUGAGGUGCGAAAGCGUGGGGAGCAAACAGGAUUAGAUACCCUGGUAGUCCACGCCGUAAACGAUGUCAACUAGCCGUUGGGAGCCUUGAGCUCUUAGUGGCGCAGCUAACGCAUUAAGUUGACCGCCUGGGGGAGUACGGCCGCAAGGUUAAAACUCAAAUGAAUUGACGGGGGCCCGCACAAGCGGUGGAGCAUGUGAUUUAAUUCGAAGCAACGCGAAGAACCUUACCAGGCCUUGACAUCCAAUGAACUUUCUAGAGAAUAGAUUGGUGCCUUCGGGAACAU
RNAcentral lists this ribosomal RNA (973 nucleotides) under Pseudomonas gessardii. RNAcentral's name for it is "bacterial SSU rRNA". It matches the Rfam family "Bacterial small subunit ribosomal RNA", at positions 63 to 1029 of the family's 1533-position model. The record is from RNAcentral. Lineage: Bacteria; Pseudomonadati; Pseudomonadota; Gammaproteobacteria; Pseudomonadales; Pseudomonadaceae.